This is a long non-coding RNA of Equus caballus (horse), 6558 nucleotides long. The record is from Ensembl. Lineage: Eukaryota; Metazoa; Chordata; Mammalia; Perissodactyla; Equidae.
UCGGCCGUGCCAUUUUCUCAGACUUUCCUUGUUUAUGAGGAUCUUGACAGUGUUGAAGAGUACCAGUCAGGGAUGUCGUAGGAUGCCCUCUUGCAACUGGUCUGCUCUUUUUUCUCCUGAUUAGACUGGGGUUAUGGGUUUGGGGUAGGGAGAUUACCAAGGCAAAGUGCUGUUGUCCUCCUAUAUCGUGGACUGUCACCAUGCUUUGUGACUGGUAGUGGUGACCUUGAUUACCUGGCCUAAGGAAUAUUUAGAAGUUACUCCUCCCUCUAAGCCCCCACACUGAACACUUUGGACAGAAGUCACCGUGCACAGCCCACACUGAGGGCGUGGGGAGUGCUGCUCUCCCUUCGUUUAUUUGCGAGCUGGCCAGGAAAUGAGGGGCCUGUGGUUGGAAAGAAGGGAAGUGGAGUCCUUGGCUUAGAAUGCCAGGAGCAUGCCUCUUUCUUAAAAACCCUCCCUUGACUCUGCUAUUUCACAGUAAAAUUUCCCAGAAGAGAUGUCUUCAUUUCAUGCUCUUUCACUCUAUUUUUAAAUUUAAUAAUAGUUUUUCCAACACAAAAAGUUAUAAAACUUACAAUGAGCACUUGUUUACCCACCACCCGGCUUAAGUAGAACAUGGCCACUGCUGUCGAAGUUCCUUCUCCAUUUACAUCUACUUUCUUUCUGGCCUUUCCAUGUGUCCCUUCCUAAAUUUACUACAUAUUUGUCCUUCUAAUAUAGUAUUGUUGCGUGUGCUCCUGAACUAGAUGAAUGAUGCCAUCCUUAUGUGGCGUGCUGCAGCUAACUGCUUUUCCUCCAACAAGAUUCAUUCAUGUUUGGUUUAUGUAGCUCAAGUACUGCUAUGUAUUCAAUGACUGACAAUUUUAUAGUUGAUGGACAUUUAUUUCCGCUUUUUGCCAUUAGUAACAGUGUUGCUGCGACCACUCGUCUUCUCGACCACACAAGUGUUCUCGUGCACCUGAGAGUUUCUCUGGGGCAGUGGUUGCCCUUCACCCUAGCUGCACAGAAGAAUCACUCGGAGCGCCUUUCAAAAACACCAAUGUUGAUUUAGUUGGUCUGGGGUGGGACUAGGGCGUCAAUUUUGUUUGGUUUUGCAUUCCCCUCAGGUGAUUCUAAUGUGCAUCUGUAGUUGAAAACCACUCCUCUAGGAGCGGAUUUUAGGGUAAUUGCAUCUUUACAACACAAUCAAUCUCCUAAGUGGUUGUACCAGUGCACAUUUCCACUAGUAGUGUGGGUGAGUUUUGUUCCACAUUCUUGCUAACAUUUGGUUUUAUCAAGCUGAAGGGAGUGAAAUGGCAUCUCAUUGUGGUUUCAAUUCUCAUUUCCCUGAUGACUGGGGAAGUGCAGUGUCCUCUCCCAUGUUUAUCAGCCAUUCUAGUAUCCUCUUUGGUGAAUAACCUGUUUGACUAUUUUCUCAUGGGCUGUUCGCAUUUCUCUUAGUGACUUUUAGAAAUUCUUUAUCCUGGAUAUUAAUAUUAGUGGACAGGCAGGUUCAGAGGGUUCUCUUUAUCAAGAUACUGUGCAACGUGAGCAGAUUUUCAAUAGCAGAGUCCAUGCGCUCCAUCGUAGCUAUUGAACUUUUCUCCCUAAAAGACCAUGGGGGCUCAAAUUCUAUCGCUACGACUUCUGAACUUGAUUUCCAUUCUUUUGUGUAUUAGAGUGGGCUGUUACUUUAUGAUUCCUCAAUAUUUGAAGCUUUAGUCAGAUAAAUGAAUGGUUAAGUUAAAUUUGAAGUUAACACCUGAAUUUCAGCCUCUAAGGGUACUUCACUGAGUUCAUCAUGCAUAGGGCUCCCAUGUUACAGUACAGUAAAGCCCGCCCCGUUAAUUCAGACUUGACUCAUUUGGACUUUGAAUGCUUAGACAGAGUAGAAGUUAACUUGGCGCUUUUAUGUAAAGAAUAGGUGUCUUAAAUAAACGUGUUAAAAAAUGGAGGGUAGGAUAUUUAAGCUGCAUGCUGAAGUAGACUGUUUUCAAGUUGCCUUAAGCACUUGAAGAGAAUUCCCACGCUCAUUCAAGUAAUCGAUGUGGCUCUUUCCUGUGUAGCCCUCUAAAGAAUUAGUCCAGCACCCAUUGUGUGCACCACACAGACAGAGGCUCUGGAUCACUUCUCUAUUAUACCUAACUAUCAUAAUUCAGGCUUUCUUCCAUUUGUCCAGAUUUAGUAAUGAACAAAACCGAAUGGAUUACACUAGCCUGAUUAACUGCUGCCCGGUCCAUGGCUAGGAACUCAUGAGUUGAGCUUUUUCUCUUAAGGUUCUCUUCUCUGUCUGCUGAAGGAAAGGUUUCAGCUCCUCAGGGUCCUUAUUAGAAAGCUCUUGCCAUUUUACAGUGCAAAUCUCUUCCAUUUAAGUACACCACCAAUUAAUUUCUAUGGCAACACAGUUGGAUGUGUAAGCGCAGUGCCUACUGGUAAAGUGCCGAAGGUAAGAGGCCCUAAAACGUAAUCACACACAGGAGUAAAAGACUAGCCCUUGGAGACCUAACACCCCCUGCACAGGGCAAGAGCGUGCCUCGCGCCAGAGAAGGAGGCUGCUGCCCCUGCGGCUGCGUGCGAAGCACUUAGAGAUUUCCAUUCGAGCUCUGUUAGCUCACUCACCUGCAGCAGUGCUUUGAAGUUGGGCUAUUUUGCCAACUCAGUACCCACCUUGUUUCCUCAAAAGUUUUCAGUUUCAGGGUGACUCCAACACAACCCUUCCUUGGAUUGCCCACAGACUGACCACCAGUUCAAGAGCGAUCAAGUUAGAAAGAUCUACACUUAGACUCUGAUGGAAGAGAAGCAACAGUUGUCCAAUGUCAAGGUUCUGAGGUUGCAGGCAACUGUUAGAAAUAAAGUUUUUCUUUACUUUGUCUACAUUUUUUAAAAAAAUCUUCUCUCACCCUGACUCUAGAACCAAUACAAGAAUGUCUUAGGUCAUGGGAUGUGCUGAGUCAAAGCCACGCCUGCGACCUCUGCCACCAGCAGACCACCCAGGGAAGUGACGCCCCAGGACAGUUGGGCAGAGUCCAGGUCCUUGCCUGGCCUCUCAACAGUGGGGACUAGACUCUUGCUCCUGGGGUCCCAGCCUGUGCUGAGGUAGGUAGGUGCCCAUGGAGAGUGGUGGGUGCUCACAGCAGCAAAGCUCGCCUUGUGGGUAAUUAGUAAACGUUUAAGGAAAAUGAGUUCUUGUCUCCUCUAUCCACAAGUCAUUCCAAAGGAUGUGAUGUCCUUGUGUAAUCCAAGUCCCCACACCCUAUGUAGUCUUCCCUCAUUGGCCCCAAAUCAUAACCCUUAGAACUAGAAGGUCCUUAUCCACGUUUCUGGCAUGGGAAUCAUUUCUAUAACAUGGUCAUCUAGCUCCUGCUUGAAUACCUCCAUGACAGGGACCUCACUACUUCAUUUCAGGCUUUGCCACUGUUGGUGAUUUGCCACAGUGACUGCUUUGUUAGCAAUAGUUUGUCCCUGGUGUCUCUUCCCAACUAGAGUGUGGAAACUAUGGGAGGAAAAAUAAUCUCUUCAUUUGUUACUGUUAAUAUUUAACUGAAAAUUAGUCAGGCACAAUACACAAAACACUUACUGAUCCAUCUUUUCCUUUCACUCAACAAAUAGUCAUUUAGCAUUUUCCAUGCGCCAGGCACUCUUCUGGGUACUCAGAAUCAGUCCGUGACCAAGACAAAGUUGUUGGCUAUCUCCGAGCUAACAUUCCAAAGAGGGGAAUAAGAAAACAAAUAAUAUAAUUUUAGACGGUCAUAAAUGCUAUGGAGAAAGUCAAGCCAGGUACGUGGAGAACAUGCGAUGGGAGGAGCCGUGUGAGAGAGGUGGUGGGGAGGGCCUCUGAGGAGGCCGAGCAGAGCGGGAUGUGAGGGCGCUAGUGCAUGUGGGGUUCUGCAAGUGUUCGUUGUUUAAUGACUGUUGGAAGCUUUCGUGCCAUGUGGUGGUGAGCCCUCUAGGACGGCUGUGUCUAUAUCAUGGGCUCUGCUUGUGGCAUGCUAACUGGACCCCCCACUCCUUUUUCCUUCUCCUUGGUAAUAGAAACACGGAUAUACGUGGUCCACAUGUGACGCUCAUGUAGAAGGAGGCCGACUGUGGCACAGCGGAUAGAGCCAGACAAGCCUGGAUCGGCUCCUGCCACUAACCAGCCUGAAGACCUGGGGCAAUCCAUUUAACCUCUCUGAUGCUCAUUUCUCAUCCGUAAAAUGAGGAGAAGAAUACCUCCACAGGUAGUUGCAAAUUUUAGAGAUUGUGCAUAUAAAGUGGCUGACACAUUGUGCUAAAUAGGUGCUAACUGUAGCUUUGUGUAGACACGAAGAGAUCCUGACUGCACUUACUCAUCCCUGGGAAUUCUCGAGAAUCACGCUACCAGUGAGUUAUCUACUUUUAGACGUUCCUCUGAACUCAGACUUUUGUUUACACUCAGUAUUGUGCGUUUUCCUAAGCACAGGCACUGAUCAGCAGCUUCUCCCGUGCUCCUUAAUCACCUAUGUGAGUCACCUUCCCGAGACGUGGCCCCAAGCUUUCCGACAGACAGCGAGGCUUCUGCUCAGGUUGCUCCCCCUCCAGGACUGCCGGAUUCCCGCCUCUCGAGCCCUGCUCUGCUGAUCCUUCUAAGCCCAGCCCAGGUGCCAGCUGCAGCAAGCCUUUGCAGCACAGCUUAUCCAAAUUCUUACCUCCUCCCCAACUGCCACAGCCCUGUGGCCCUUGCGCUGUGCUUGCGUUUCCGGCAGGGCGCCUCUCACUGAGCCUGCGAGCUCCUUCAGGUCUGGUAUUGGGCCACCCACACCUACCAGAGCCUGGCACGGGGUGUUCGUGCAGCGCUGGCUGAUUGCAAUUCAACAGAGUCAGACGCUGCAGAGAAGGUGAGGAUGAGAAUUAAGAAAAGGUCUCUGGAUUGCCUACUUGGUAACUUUUAAGAAAAUAGAUUCCACAGCAGGGCAGAGCUAGGAAGACUGACUGCAAAGGAGUAAGGAGCGGAUGCCGAGGCAGCUGGGGAGUGCAGGCUGCUCUUGUUGGCAGAAGGUGCGAGCAUUUGUAGAUGACAUGACAUGAUGCCUAGGGUCUGCUUUCAAAUACUCCAGCAAACAAAGAAGGAAAAAUGAGAGGAAAAGAAUAGAAGGGACUUAGGGAAUGUUUGGAAUUUUCCAUAACAGAAAUAGCACAAUGGGAACAAACCAACAAAAACAUCUGGAAGUGAGAAAAAAGGCUGUCGUUAGCCGGACCCUUGGAGUUUGAAAUUGAUACAAUGAGUGUGUACAAGAAACAUGAGAAUGUGAUUCGUUUGCUUUUGCUUACCUAUUUUGGCAUAAUUUCUAGGCAAAUUUGCUAGUUGCUUCUUUUUUUUAAAAGAUUUUAUUUUUCCUUUUUCUUCCCAAAGCCGCCCGGUACAUAGUUGUGCAUUUUUAGUUGUGGGUCCUUCUAGUUGUGGCAUGUGGGACACCAUCUCAGCGUGGCUUGAUGAGCAGUGCCAUGUCCAUGCCCAGGAUCAGAACAGGCAAAACUCUGGGCCGCUGAAGCAGAGCGCGCGAACUUAACCACUUGGCCACAGGGCCACCCCCAAAUUUGCUAGUUUUUAUCUUCAAGAAGUGCACGUGGCCAAUGACUAACAUAACCAUUUGUCUAACAACGUUCAAUACAUUAAACAGUUUUACUUUUCACACUUUUUGCAUUCAUUACAAAUUUUUCAUUUGAUUCUCAUAAUAACCUCAUGCGGUAUGUUUGGCAUAGAUUAUUCCCGUUUGAUAAAUGAAGAAAACUGAAGUUAAGUGACUCACUUAUUUGCGCAUAACUGGUAAAAGGAAAAAUGCACACCGGAAACCAGUACUCCCACCCAACCAUCCCUACCCACUGCCUGCCUCGAGACGCCACCCCCUGCAUUUCGUUAGUAUCCUGAUCACGCUGCACAUCCUGAAAAUUGGGGAAAGAAUUGUUUUCCACCUCUUUUUACAUCUGCCUUCCCCAUGAGGGGUGCUUUGCCGCAGUCAACAUUCAUUCAACAGACAUGAAAAUGGGUAGGACAGCCCUGCCCUUUGGGAAGUUCAGGUGUGAGUAGCCAAGUCAGAUGAGAACAACUAACGUUAUUCGCUCCGCCAGACCUUUGGGGAGGCUGGGAGUUCCACCGAAGAGGAAUUUGGCAAGGUUGCAGACCGUGCUACAUCCGUGUUCUGAUUUACUCUUAUCCUUUACUUUGAAAAAGAUUGGCGUUCUUGGUUCAUAGCGUCAAGCCAGCUUAUUUCAGCCCAAUCUUUGAAUCUGAGCUGUUUCCUUUCAAAUUUUCCAUUUUAAUUUCUGAACAGGCGAACUUCAUUGGCGGUCUCUUCUCAGUUCCUGCUCUUGGCUCUGACUUGCCAUAUCUCGGCAGAAAGCUCAAGCAUGCUUCGGGGUUCAGAGACUGUGUACACUGAGAAUUUGACAUUGAAAUUCAGUAAAAGAUUUGGAGAACUCCAGAAAUGCAGCAUCUCAACUUGACAAAAAUGUGUUUGGUUUCUGUGGUUAAGUGAAAUUACAGCAACCAACAUUUAUUGAAAGCUGACUAUAUGCCAAGUAUUGUUCACAUGCGUUUAUCCAUUUAGCCCUCUCAAG